GUGGGGAAUCUUAGACAAUGGGGGAAACCCUGAUCUAGCCAUGCCGCGUGAUCGAUGAAGGCCUUAGGGUUGUAAAGAUCUUUCAGGUGGGAAGAUAAUGACUGUACCACCAGAAGAAGCCCCGGCUAACUCCGUGCCAGCAGCCGCGGUAAUACGGAGGGGGCUAGAGUUGUUCGGAAUUACUGGGCGUAAAGCGCACGUAGGCGGAUUGGAAAGUUGGGGGUGAAAUCCCGGGGCUCAACCCCGGAACUGCCUUCAAAACUCCCAGUCUUGAGUUCGAGAGAGGUGAGUGGAAUUCCGAGUGUAGAGGUGAAAUUCGUAGAUAUUCGGAGGAACACCAGUGGCGAAGGCGGCUCACUGGCUCGAUACUGACGCUGAGGUGCGAAAGCGUGGGGAGCAAACAGGAUUAGAUACCCGGGUAGUCC
Molecule: ribosomal RNA, 425 nt
Filed under: uncultured bacterium
Lineage: Bacteria
Description: partial 16S ribosomal RNA
Rfam family: Bacterial small subunit ribosomal RNA
Source: RNAcentral